GGUGUGGAUGAGUGGCGAACGGGUGAGUAACACGUGAGUAACCUGCCCCUGACUUCGGGAUAAGCUUGGGAAACUGGGUCUAAUACCGGAUGUGACUACUGGCCGCAUGGUCCGGUGGUGGAAAGGGUUUUACUGGUUGGGGAUGGACUCGCGGCCUAUCAGUUUGUUGGUGGGGUAGUGGCCUACCAAGACGACGACGGGUAGCCGGCCUGAGAGGGCGACCGGCCACACUGGGACUGAGACACGGCCCAGACUCCUACGGGAGGCAGCAGUGGGGAAUAUUGCACAAUGGGGGGAACCCUGAUGCAGCGACGCCGCGUGCGAGAUGACGGCCUUCGGGUUGUAAACCGCUUUCAGUAGGGAAGAAGCGAAAGUGACGGUACCUGCAGAAGAAGUACCGGCUAACUACGUGCCAGCAGCCGCGGUAAUACGUAGGGUACAAGCGUUGUCCGGAAUUAUUGGGCGUAAAGAGCUCGUAGGUGGUUGGUCGCGUCUGCUGUGGAAACGCAACGCUUAACGUUGCGCGUGCAGUGGGUACGGGCUGACUAGAGUGCAGUAGGGGAGUCUGGAAUUCCUGGUGUAGCGGUGAAAUGCGCAGAUAUCAGGAGGAACACCGGUGGCGAAGGCGGGACUCUGGGCUGUAACUGACGCUGAGGAGCGAAAGCAUGGGGAGCGAACAGGAUUAGAUACCCUGGUAGUCCAUGCCGUAAACGUUGGGAACUAGGUGUGGGGUCCAUUCCACGGAUUCCGUGCCGGAGCUAACGCAUUAAGUUCCCCGCCUGGGGAGUACGCCGCAA
Molecule: ribosomal RNA, 797 nt
Filed under: uncultured Actinomycetes bacterium
Lineage: Bacteria; Bacillati; Actinomycetota; Actinomycetes
Description: bacterial SSU rRNA
Rfam family: Bacterial small subunit ribosomal RNA
Source: RNAcentral